RNAcentral lists this ribosomal RNA (490 nucleotides) under uncultured bacterium. RNAcentral's name for it is "partial 16S ribosomal RNA". It matches the Rfam family "Bacterial small subunit ribosomal RNA", at positions 30 to 507 of the family's 1533-position model. The record is from RNAcentral.
AUUGAACGCUGGCGGCAGGCCUAACACAUGCAAGUCGAACGGUAACAGGAAGACGCUUGCUUCUUUGCUGACGAGUGGCGGACGGGUGAGUAAUGUCUGGGAAACUGCCUGAUGGAGGGGGAUAACUACUGGAAACGGUAGCUAAUACCGCAUAACGUCGCAAGACCAAAGAGGGGGACCUUCGGGCCUCUUGCCAUCUGAUGUGCCCAGAUGGGAUUAGCUAGUAGGUGGGGUAACGGCUCACCUAGGCGACGAUCCCUAGCUGGUCUGAGAGGAUGACCAGCCACACUGGAACUGAGACACGGUCCAGACUCCUACGGGAGGCAGCAGUGGGGAAUAUUGCACAAUGGGCGCAAGCCUGAUGCAGCCAUGCCGCGUGUAUGAAGAAGGCCUUCGGGUUGUAAAGUACUUUCAGCGGGGAGGAAGGGAGUAAAGUUAAUACCUUUGCUCAUUGACGUUACCCGCAGAAGAAGCACCGGCUAACUCCGUG